GGAUUUUGUUUGAAAGGUGGCUUCGGCUAUCACUUCUGGAUGAUCCCGCGGCGUAUUAGUUAGUUGGUGAGGUAAAGGCCCACCAAGACGAUGAUACGUAGCCGACCUGAGAGGGUAAUCGGCCACAUUGGGACUGAGACACGGCCCAAACUCCUACGGGAGGCAGCAGUAGGGAAUCUUCCACAAUGGACGAAAGUCUGAUGGAGCAAUGCCGCGUGAGUGAAGAAGGGUUUCGGCUCGUAAAACUCUGUUGUUAAAGAAGAACACCUUUGAGAGUAACUGUUCAAGGGUUGACGGUAUUUAACCAGAAAGCCACGGCUAACUACGUGCCAGCAGCCGCGGUAAUACGUAGGUGGCAAGCGUUGUCCGGAUUUAUUGGGCGUAAAGCGAGCGCAGGCGGUUUUUUAAGUCUGAUGUGAAAGCCUUCGGCUUAACCGGAGAAGUGCAUCGGAAACUGGGAGACUUGAGUGCAGAAGAGGACAGUGGAACUCCAUGUGUAGCGGUGGAAUGCGUAGAUAUAUGGAAGAACACCAGUGGCGAAGGCGGCUGUCUAGUCUGUAACUGACGCUGAGGCUCGAAAGCAUGGGUAGCGAACAGGAUUAGAUACCCUGGUAGUCCAUGCCGUAAACGAUGAGUGCUAAGUGUUGGAGGGUUUCCGCCCUUCAGUGCUGCAGCUAACGCAUUAAGCACUCCGCCUGGGGAGUACGACCGCAAGGUUGAAACUCAAAGGAAUUGACGGGGGCCCGCACAAGCGGUGGAGCAUGUGGUUUAAUUCGAAGCUACGCGAAGAACCUUACCAGGUCUUGACAUCUUCUGCCAAUCUUAGAGAUAAGACGUUCCCUUCGGGGACAGAAUGACAGGUGGUGCAUGGUUGUCGUCAGCUCGUGUCGUGAGAUGUUGGGUUAAGUCCCGCAACGAGCGCAACCCUUAUUAUCAGUUGCCAGCAUUCAGUUGGGCACUCUGGUGAGACUGCCGGUGACAAACCGGAGGAAGGUGGGGAUGACGUCAAAUCAUCAUGCCCCUUAUGACCUGGGCUACACACGUGCUACAAUGGACGGUACAACGAGUCGCGAAGUCGUGAGGCUAAGCUAAUCUCUUAAAGCCGUUCUCAGUUCGGAUUGUAGGCUGCAACUCGCCUACAUGAAGUUGGAAUCGCUAGUAAUCGCGGAUCAGCAUGCCGCGGUGAAUACGUUCCCGGGCCUUGUACACACCGCCCGUCACAC
This 1223-nucleotide ribosomal RNA is filed under the name Levilactobacillus brevis. RNAcentral's name for it is "bacterial SSU rRNA". It matches the Rfam family "Bacterial small subunit ribosomal RNA", at positions 191 to 1402 of the family's 1533-position model. Lineage: Bacteria; Bacillati; Bacillota; Bacilli; Lactobacillales; Lactobacillaceae. The record is from RNAcentral.